UGUCGUCUUUAUGUGGCCUUUUAUCUCCAGUAAAAUAAUGUUUUAUUCCCACUGUUAAGUUCUGACACGCCUCACAUAUGCACACACACACGCACCAUGAAUUCAGCUAAAAAGCAAAGUCAUUAUCCUCCAAUGGUGACAGCACUGUUUGAAAACGACAUUGGAUUUUAAUGUGGUGCAAGUCAAUUUCAGCGUAUGAAAGGACUUGUGGAAAGAUAAUGCAGGGCCAAUUUACACUCAAUUGAAAUGUGUGUUUCCUUUUGAAUCUGCCCCAAUUCCAUCCUGGCCCAAUGACCAGCUCGAGCUGAAUGUGGGAUGCUUUGCUGAGAGAAUAUCCACUGCUCUAUUAUGAAGCCAUUUGAAGAUCGUGGCAUAGACUAACUGGCCCUCUGAGUCUUGGUUACUUUGCAACGGCAAAUCUAUACAUGCGAUAUUCAGAUUUCACAAACAUAAUUAUGCCACAGCAGUUCAAAGGUUCCAACGUGUACACAUUGGCUGCACGGCUUGUCUACUCUGCAAUGUUAAUGGCACACAUAUAAUCAAGUGCCAAAAAUAUUUGAAAUACGUUCAUAAAAUCGGACCGAGGGAUGUGUUUACCAAUGCAAAUUUUAACACUUAAGGGUUUUUGCGUAGGUGUGUCCUAUAAAAGCUGUCAGCUGGCUUUCAGAACUGCCUAUCUUUUCUGUCAGAAUCAUUCAAUAUUCAAACCCAAAUUAUACCAAAGUCAGUUAUCAAGACUCUUUGACUUGGCUUAUAUAAUAGCAGACCAUUUCUACACAAAUAGCAUUUGCUUCCCGGUGGAAAUCAUUCAUGGAAAUUGAUACUAAUCCAGAUGCCAAGGCCAAUACGAGACAGUUAGGAAUAUUUGUGGUUCUGAUAGCGAAGAACUUUCUUUCCCCUUGGGCUUGUGUUUAGAUCAGAUGCAUGUUGAACAGAAUUCAGAUCUUUUUUCUUUUGUCUUCUCAGACUUCUAAUCAACAGCAGAGACAUUGUAGCCCGUCGCAGACCAGGUUGAAGCUCUUUGAUAUCCGUGCCGAGCUCAUGGGGGCUCAACCAGAAGACCACCCACACCACAAUGAGGCACAGACUCCUGAAGGAGAGGGGAGACGUGAAGAGCCGAGUCAGGAGAACAUGCCAUCAAGAGAUGGAGUUGGCAGCUGACCAGAAGCUUUCGGAAAGCCUCUCUCUCCUCCUGUUCACUGUCCCUCUCAGGCACCAGAUCGACAAACAGCCCGAGUUCUGACAGCUGUCAUACAGAAUAAUGACAUAUCCAUGCACCUUUGAGUUGGCAAAAUAACAAAAAAAAAAAAAAAAAACAAACACCACCACCACCAACAACAACAAAAACCGUUGAACUCUAGCAAAAUUGGGUUUGGAUAAAGUAUGCUUUAUCAUUUUUUUUUAUUUCAUUGUUGUGUAACAACUCACUUGUCUCAGAGUUUCAGCAAAGAUGGCACAGACCUUUCAUCAAGUUGGACAACUUGAGAACAAACAGGAGGAGGAAAAAAGGCUCGCCGUUUUCCUCACAAGGGCGAUUCCUCUCCAAAUCGAUUUUCCCAGACAACAUAAGUAGUUCUCUCUAUUGAAAUGAAGAGAAGUUGUCCCUCUUUUCUCCUCACUCACAACUCCAGCCAUUUUUCCUCACUUUCCUGGUGUCCGGUACCCUCCUUCUCAUGGCAGCUUUGUGCAAUCAAUCAAUCACUAUAACUGAACUGUCUUCCACCCCAAGGGUAGCGCCUAUUCUCUCACUCUAUUUCACUUUCUCUGUCUCGUCUGCAUCAGGCAACGGCAGAGCCCUCUCUCCUAUGACAGAUGCAACAAAUGAAAUGCAAUGGACAGGUAAUUAAACUCAAUGUCUCCAAUGACUCAACGUCUCCAUCACUGUGUGUAAGCAUAUGUUCCUAUUUGACUAACGAUGCCUUUUUAUGCUCUUAAUCAAAACUGCCCCUUGGUUAUUUAUUGAUUAGUUACCCCUCACAAAACAUCAAACCACAAUUAAAACCUAGCCACUAAUGGCAUAUUGAUUUCACCACAGUUCAACCACAUUACCCCACUGCCUCAACGACUUAAACACAGGUCAUCUGACAUUAACUACCAUCUACUUAACUCCAUAAUCAGACAUAGUUUAUUGCAGACAAGCAAUUAGGAUCAAGCAGCCAGACACAGAUGAAUUAUCCAACAAAAUGCAUAACCUCUCAAAUUUCAACAAAAUGCUGGUUUAUCAUGCUUUAUUUAACCAGGCAAAUCACUUAAGAACAAGAUUCUUAUUUACAACAGCCUGGAAAGAACAGUAGAAAAAAAUAGGAAUCAGUCUGCUUAAUUUAACUUUCCUUUUUUGACUGAUUACCUCUGCAAUAAAUAAAUAAAUAAAUGAAAGCUCA
Long non-coding RNA from Cyprinus carpio (common carp), 2381 nucleotides. Lineage: Eukaryota; Metazoa; Chordata; Actinopteri; Cypriniformes; Cyprinidae. The record is from Ensembl.